RNAcentral lists this unclassified non-coding RNA (233 nucleotides) under fungal sp. RNAcentral's name for it is "partial contains 5.8S ribosomal RNA, internal transcribed spacer 2, and large subunit ribosomal RNA". Lineage: Eukaryota; Fungi. The record is from RNAcentral.
CGCACAUUGCGCCCCUCGGUACUCCGGGGGGCAUGCCUGUCCGAGCGUCAUUGAAAACCAUCAAGCCUGGCUUGGUCUUGGGCGCGGUCUUGGGACCCGCCCGCAACCCGUCGGCGGUGCCGUUCGGCCCUGAGCGUAGCAAAACCUCUCGCUCGAGGGUCGCGGCGGUGCCCGCUAGGAGCACACUCCUCAAGUUUGACCUCGGAUCAGGUAGGGAUACCCGCUGAACUUAA